GAACUAAGCAUUUCAAUAAGCGGAGGAAAAGAACCCACCAGGGAUUCCCUUAGUACCGGCGAGUAAAGCGGGACCAGCUCAAAUUUGAAAUCUGGCCCUCGGGUCCGAGUUGUAAUUUGUAGAGGAUGCUUUUGGUGCGGUGCCUUCCGAGUUCCCUGGAACGGGACGCCUUAGAGGGUGAGAGCCCCGUACGGUUGGACGCCUAGCCUCUGUAAAGCUCCUUCGACGAGUCGAGUAGUUUGGGAAUGCUGCUCUAAAUGGGAGGUAUAUUUCUUCUAAAGCUAAAUACUGGCCAGAGACCGAUAGCGCACAAGUAGAGUGAUCGAAAGAUGAAAAGCACUUUGAAAAGAGGGUUAAAUAGCACGUGAAAUUGUUGAAAGGGAAGCGUUUAUCACCAGACUUUUUCUAGGGGGAUCAUCCGGUGUUCUCACCGGUGCACUUCCCCUAGUUGAGGCCAGCAUCGGUUUUCGGAGGGGGAUAAAAGUUUCGGGAAUGUGACUCCCCCGGGAGUGUUAUAGCCCGUUACAUAAUACCCUUCUGGGGACCGAGGUUCGCGCAUCUGCAAGGAUGCUGGCAUAAUGGUGAUCAACGACCCGUCUUGAAACACGGACCAAGGAGUCGAACAUUUAUGCGAGUGUUUGGGUGUCAAACCCUCACGCGUAAUGAAAGUGAACGGAGGUGAGAGCCCUUACGGGUGCAUCAUCGACCGAUCCUGAUGUCUUCGGAUGGAUUUGAGUAAGAGCAUAACUGUUCGGACCCGAAAGAUGGUGAACUAUGCGUGGAUAGGGUGAAGCCAGGAGAAAUCCUGGUGGAGGCUCGCAGCGGUUCUGACGUGCAAAUCGAUCGUCAAAUCUGCGCAUGGGGGCGAAAGACUAAUCGACCUCUCGACGUCCG
RNAcentral lists this ribosomal RNA (894 nucleotides) under Nigrospora oryzae. RNAcentral's name for it is "partial large subunit ribosomal RNA". It matches the Rfam family "Eukaryotic large subunit ribosomal RNA", at positions 30 to 953 of the family's 3401-position model. The record is from RNAcentral. Lineage: Eukaryota; Fungi; Ascomycota; Sordariomycetes; Amphisphaeriales; Apiosporaceae.